AGCUCCACUAGCGUAUAUUAACGUUGCUGCAGUUAAAAAGCUCGUAGUCGGAUCUCGGGAUCGUGUCGGUGAUUUGGUUGCUUCUCCUGCGUUUCGGCGCUGGGGGUUGUGGCCGGUCAUCGGCCCUGCCGGCGAGGUCCCUACCUUUGGUGGGGUUCCACCUCGCUCGUGCAGCCCGCCGUCGCGAUUUGGCGGGUGUCCUUAAUUGGGUGCCCGUCUCGGUCGUGACCCGUUACCGUGAACAAAUCGGAGUGCGCAAAGCAGGCUCUCUAUCGCUCGAACGGUAGCGCAUGGAAUAAUGGAAGAGGAUUUGCUUCCGCUUCUGUUGGUCUCACGGAGGCAGGUAAUGAUCAAGAGGGACGGACGGGGACAGAGGUAUGGCUCGGCGAGAGGUGAAAUUCUUGGACCCUAGACAGACCCUCGAGAGCGAAAGCAUCUGUCAAGGAUGUGUCCA
Molecule: ribosomal RNA, 454 nt
Filed under: marine Metazoa environmental sample
Lineage: Eukaryota; Metazoa
Description: SSU rRNA
Rfam family: Eukaryotic small subunit ribosomal RNA
Source: RNAcentral